UGGGGAAUUUUGGACAAUGGGCGAAAGCCUGAUCCAGCCAUGCCGCGUGAGUGAAGAAGGCCUUCGGGUUGUAAAGCUCUUUUAGUCGGAAAGAAAGAGUUGCAAUGAAUAAUUGUGAUUUAUGACGGUAUCGACAGAAAAAGCACCGGCUAACUACGUGCCAGCAGCCGCGGUAAUACCUAGGGUGCGAGCGUUAAUCGGAAUUACUGGGCGUAAAGGGUGCGCAGGCGGUCUUGCAAGUCAGAUGUGAAAGCCCCGGGCUUAACCUGGGAAUUGCGUUUGAAACUGCAAGACUAGAGUGCAGCAGAGGGGAGUGGAAUUCCAUGUGUAGCAGUGAAAUGCGUAGAGAUGUGGAAGAACACCGAUGGCGAAGGCAGCUCCCUGGGUUGACACUGACGCUCAUGCACGAAAGCGUGGGGAGCAAACA
RNAcentral lists this ribosomal RNA (427 nucleotides) under uncultured beta proteobacterium. RNAcentral's name for it is "bacterial SSU rRNA". It matches the Rfam family "Bacterial small subunit ribosomal RNA", at positions 355 to 774 of the family's 1533-position model. The record is from RNAcentral. Lineage: Bacteria; Pseudomonadati; Pseudomonadota; Betaproteobacteria.